CCUACGGGUGGCAGCAGUGGGGGAUAUUGCACAAUGGAGGGAACUCUGAUGCAGCGACGCCGCGUGAGGGAAGAAGGUUUUCGGAUUGUAAACCUCUGUCUUCGGUGACGAAACGAGACGGUAGCCGAGGAGGAAGCCACGGCUAACUACGUGCCAGCAGCCGCGGUAAUACGGAGGAUUCAAGCGUUAUCCGGAUUUAUUGGGUUUAAAGGGAGCGUAGGCGGGCGUUCAAGUCAGCUGUAAAAUCGCGCGGCUCAACCGCGCCCCGCAGUUGAAACUGGACGCCUUGAGUUCACAACAGGCAGGCGGAAUUCGUGGUGUAGCGGUGAAAUGCAUAGAUAUCACGAGGAACCCCGAUUGCGAAGGCAGCCUGCCGGGGUGCGACUGACGCUGAGGCUCGAAGGUGCGGGUAUCAAACAGGAUUAGAUACCCCUGUAGUC
RNAcentral lists this ribosomal RNA (440 nucleotides) under uncultured bacterium. RNAcentral describes it as "partial 16S ribosomal RNA". It matches the Rfam family "Bacterial small subunit ribosomal RNA", at positions 338 to 795 of the family's 1533-position model. The record is from RNAcentral.